GUCUAUGGCCAUACCACCCUGAAUGUGCCUCAUUUUGUCUGAUCUCAGAAGCUAAGCAUGGUUGGGCCUGGUUAGUACUUGGAUGGGAAAAUUUAGUGCUUGAACACUGUGUUGUAGAUU
This 120-nucleotide ribosomal RNA is filed under the name Cebus imitator (Panamanian white-faced capuchin). Lineage: Eukaryota; Metazoa; Chordata; Mammalia; Primates; Cebidae. The record is from RNAcentral.